Molecule: ribosomal RNA, 492 nt
Filed under: uncultured bacterium
Lineage: Bacteria
Description: partial 16S ribosomal RNA
Rfam family: Bacterial small subunit ribosomal RNA
Source: RNAcentral
AGUGAACGCUGGCGGUAGGCCUAACACAUGCAAGUCGAACGGCAGCACAGUAAGAGCUUGCUCUUACGGGUGGCGAGUGGCGGACGGGUGAGGAAUACAUCGGAAUCUACUUUUUCGUGGGGGAUAACGUAGGGAAACUUACGCUAAUACCGCAUACGACCUACGGGUGAAAGCAGGGGAUCUUCGGACCUUGCGCGAUUGAAUGAGCCGAUGUCGGAUUAGCUAGUUGGCGGGGUAAAGGCCCACCAAGGCGACGAUCCGUAGCUGGUCUUAGAGGAUGAUCAGCCACACUGGAACUGAGACACGGUCCAGACUCCUACGGGAGGCAGCAGUGGGGAAUAUUGGACAAUGGGCGCAAGCCUGAUCCAGCCAUACCGCGUGGGUGAAGAAGGCCUUCGGGUUGUAAAGCCCUUUUGUUGGGAAAGAAAAGCAGCAGGUUAAUACCCCGCUGUCCUGACGGUACCCAAAGAAUAAGCACCGGCUAACUUCGUG